RNAcentral lists this transfer RNA (72 nucleotides) under Myxococcales bacterium LLY-WYZ-16_1. RNAcentral describes it as "tRNA-Glu". It matches the Rfam family "tRNA". From Rfam's summary of the family: Transfer RNA (tRNA) molecules are approximately 80 nucleotides in length. Their secondary structure includes four short double-helical elements and three loops (D, anti-codon, and T loops). The record is from RNAcentral. Lineage: Bacteria; Pseudomonadati; Myxococcota; Myxococcia; Myxococcales.
GGCCCCAUCGUCUAGCGGUUAGGACGGCGGCCUCUCACGCCGCAGACCGGAGUUCGAGUCUCCGUGGGGUCG